This 253-nucleotide ribosomal RNA is filed under the name uncultured bacterium. Its description in RNAcentral is "partial 16S ribosomal RNA". It matches the Rfam family "Bacterial small subunit ribosomal RNA", at positions 524 to 776 of the family's 1533-position model. The record is from RNAcentral.
UACGGGGGGGGCAAGCGUUGUUCGGAAUUACUGGGCGUAAAGGGCUCGUAGGCGGCCAACUAAGUCGGAUGUGAAAUCCCCAAGCUUAACUUGGGAACUGCAUCCGAUACUGGAUGGCUUGAAUCCGGGAGAGGGAUGCAGAAUUCCAGGUGUAGCGGUGAAAUGCGUAGAUAUCAGGAGGAACACCGAUGGCGAAGGCAGCUCGCUGGGACGGUACUGACGCUGAGGCGCGAAAGCGUGGGGAGCGAACAGG